Molecule: long non-coding RNA, 226 nt
Organism: Nannospalax galili (Upper Galilee mountains blind mole rat)
Lineage: Eukaryota; Metazoa; Chordata; Mammalia; Rodentia; Spalacidae
Exons: 3
Source: RefSeq, a predicted model, not a curated record
CAGAACUUGAAGCAUGUGGGGGUGAUCCUGCAGAGGGGCAUGCUCAUCCUGCUCCUGUGUUGCUUCCCCUGCUGGGCACUCUUCAUCAAUACGGAGCACAUCCUGCUGCUCUUCAGGCAGGACCUGGAUGUGUCCAGGCUCACCCAGACCUAUGUCAUAAUCUUCAUUCCAGCUCUUCCCGCGGCCUUUCUUUAUGUAUUACAAGUUAAAUACUUGCUCAACCAGG